CAAGUCCACUGGUCUAUGAUGGGCAAAGGAUGGAGCUUGGCCUUUGGGUGGUCACCCCUUUUUCCUAUCUUUUGGCAAGUAUCACACAUCUGGUAGUAAUCCUGCAGGUCUUGUGUGAACCCUGGCCAAAAAAAGGUCAGGGUUAACCGGUCUUUAGUCUUCCAGACACCCAGAUGUCCAGCUAGGGGAAUGUCGUGGCUAAGCUUGAGUAGCUUAGCCCUAAAUUUACGUGGCACUAUCAACUACCUUUUAGCUAUCUGCGCUGCCCCACUCCCUGUUCCCCCAGUCAAAUCUUUCCUGAGCUAUAUCACCUUGGGGGGAUAUGCUGCCUCUUUCCUAUACCCUUCUAGUGUGGGGUCUGCCCUAUGCUCUUGCUCAAAACCUUGGGGUGUACCCCAGAACAGGAGAGGGGCUUCGGUUAAGGGAGGGACAGGAGGUCCUCAGAGUGCGCUGGCUCCCUGCAGAAGGCUUG
Molecule: non-coding RNA, 472 nt
Organism: Pelobates cultripes (western spadefoot toad)
Lineage: Eukaryota; Metazoa; Chordata; Amphibia; Anura; Pelobatidae
Source: the annotation of a GenBank genome assembly